RNAcentral lists this ribosomal RNA (104 nucleotides) under uncultured bacterium. RNAcentral's name for it is "partial 16S ribosomal RNA". It matches the Rfam family "Bacterial small subunit ribosomal RNA", at positions 1379 to 1482 of the family's 1533-position model. The record is from RNAcentral.
CCUUGUACACACCGCCCGUCACACCAUGGGAGUUGGGUCUACCUUAAGACGGUGCGCCAACCGCAAGGGGGCAGCCGGCCGCGGUAGGCUCAGCGACUGGGGUG